CUCCAGAAACCAUGUGUCAAGCUCGGAUUGCCUUAGACAGAAGCUCACCCAGCUGGAACUCUUAUGGGACCUUGGCACCAGAGACCACAAAUUCCUCUUUGAAGUUUUCUAACAGCAACAAUGGUAUUUCUGACUUGGCUUUCUUGUAUUUCUCUCACGUUAACAAAAUUGGUUCAGCAUCUACCAUGGGCUACAUGCUGAGCUACAGAGUUUCGCUCUGUCGCCCAGGCUGGAGUGCAGUGGCGCGCGAUCUCGGUUCACUGCAAGCUCCACCUCCCGGGUUCACGCCAUUCUCCUGCCUCAGCCUCCUGAGUAGCUGGGACUACAGGCGCCCGCCACCACACCCAGGAAUCCAACUUGCUGUUUGCUAUCACAUGUGCUAUACAUGCUGUUGAUGAAACUGCUAAAGGGGCUGAAUGUGACUGACGUCUUUGGAAGGAUGAGACUUAGCGUGCCUGUACAGUUGUGUCCAAAUGCUGUCCUCAUCUCCCAAUGAAAAGGUAUUGUAAAUAAAGAGAAAGAUCAGAGGCUUAUUUUAAACACUAAAUAUGAGCUAGGAGCUGUCCUAGACACUAUGUAAAAGUUUUAUUUAGUUCUCACUGUAAUGUUGGCCUUAUGUUAGCAUCCCAUUUUUCAGACUGAGGAAAUUAUGGCUCAGAGAGGUUAAGAGACUUAUUGAAGGUCACACAGCUCCACAAACUUUGGUGUAGAUUGAACGUGUACAUGGGUCUAUGUGACUUUGAAUCUUGCAUUCUUUACAUUAUUGGAAUAUUUCACAGAAGGAAAAUGACAUAUUAACAUGGCAAUAA
Molecule: long non-coding RNA, 809 nt
Organism: Homo sapiens (human)
Lineage: Eukaryota; Metazoa; Chordata; Mammalia; Primates; Hominidae
Gene: LUCAT1
Product: lung cancer associated transcript 1
Source: Ensembl